RNAcentral lists this ribosomal RNA (232 nucleotides) under uncultured bacterium. Its description in RNAcentral is "partial 16S ribosomal RNA". It matches the Rfam family "Bacterial small subunit ribosomal RNA", at positions 118 to 347 of the family's 1533-position model. The record is from RNAcentral.
UGGGUGAUCUGCCCUGCACUCUGGGAUAAGCCUGGGAAACUGGGUCUAAUACCGGAUAUACCUCAUGGACUGCAUGGUUUGUGGGGAAAGCUUUUGCGGUGCGGGAUGGGCCCGCGGCCUAUCAGCUAGUUGGUGGGGUAAUGGCCUACCAAGGCAACGACGGGUAGCUGGUCUGAGAGGAUGACCAGCCACACUGGGACUGAGACCACGGCCCAGACCUCCGUACGGGAGC